RNAcentral lists this ribosomal RNA (503 nucleotides) under uncultured Acholeplasma sp. RNAcentral's name for it is "bacterial SSU rRNA". It matches the Rfam family "Bacterial small subunit ribosomal RNA", at positions 904 to 1382 of the family's 1533-position model. Lineage: Bacteria; Bacillati; Mycoplasmatota; Mollicutes; Acholeplasmatales; Acholeplasmataceae. The record is from RNAcentral.
UGCGCCUUGCCAGCCCGCUCAGAAACUCCAAGGAAUUGACGGGACCCCGCACAAGCGGUGGAUCAUGUUGUUUAAUUUCGAUGAUACGCGAAGAACCUUACCAGGUCUUGACAUCCCCCGCGAUGCUUUAGAGAUAAAGCGGAGGUAUUCGGGGAGACAGGUGGUGCAUGGUUGUCGUCAGCUCGUGUCGUGAGAUGUUGGGUUAAGUCCCGCAACGAGCGCAACCCCUAUUGCUAGUUACCAUCAUUAAGUUGGGGACUCUAGCGAGACUGCCAGUGAUAAACUGGAGGAAGGUGGGGAUGACGUCAAAUCAUCAUGCCCCUUAUGACCUGGGCUACAAACGUGAUACAAUGGCUGGAACAAAGGGAUGCGAAGCAGUGAUGUGGAGCGAAACCCAUAAAAACAGUCUCAGUUCGGAUUGAAGUCUGCAACUCGACUUCGUGAAGUCGGAAUCGCUAGUAAUCGCGGAUCAGAACGCCGCGGUGAAUACGUUCUCGGGGUUU